AUGCGCGCACGUCCACUCCGGCUCCGGUGCGCCGUCCAUUCCGCCCGACGACUGCUCGCCAGGGGCGUGUUAACG
RNAcentral lists this small RNA (75 nucleotides) under Xanthomonas phaseoli pv. dieffenbachiae. RNAcentral describes it as "sX9 sRNA". It matches the Rfam family "Xanthomonas sRNA sX9". Lineage: Bacteria; Pseudomonadati; Pseudomonadota; Gammaproteobacteria; Lysobacterales; Lysobacteraceae. The record is from RNAcentral. RNAcentral also lists the same sequence under 1 other name.